This 30-nucleotide non-coding RNA is filed under the name Mus musculus (house mouse). Lineage: Eukaryota; Metazoa; Chordata; Mammalia; Rodentia; Muridae. The record is from RNAcentral. RNAcentral also lists the same sequence under 1 other name.
UUCCAAUUAGACUUUUCCAGAUCCAUUGGA